CGCAUCUGUGCAUGCAGCAUAUCAAUAAGCGGAGGAAAAGAAACUAACAAGGAUUCCCCUAGUAACGGCGAGUGAAGCGGGAAGAGCUCAAGUUUGAAAUCUUAAAGGGUUUCCCUUUACGAAUUGUAGUUUAAAGAAGUGUUUUCUGUUGAGGUUUUGGUAAAAGUUCUUUGGAAUAGGACAUCAUAGAGGGUGAGAAUCCCGUAUUUGACCUUUACUUUCAACUUUGUGAUACACUUUCAAAGAGUCGGAUUGUUUGGGAAUGCAGUCCAAAAUGGGUGGUAAAUUUCAUCUAAAGCUAAAUAUUGGCGAGAGACCGAUAGCGAACAAGUACCGUGAGGGAAAGAUGAAAAGAACUUUGAAAAGAGAGUUAAACAGUACGUGAAAUUGUCAAAAGGGAAUGCGUUUGACACCAGUGUUGUUUUUCUGAAAAUCAAUUAAAGAACUGUUUAUGCUAAGCUGUUUAGACUUUAUCAGCUAACUGUUUAGUUUUGAGCUUUUCUUUAAUGCACUUUUCAGUUAACAAGUCAACAUCAAUUUCUUUUGCUGUAAAAAAGCUUGAGGAAGGUGGCUUGAGAUUCGUCUUAAGUGUUUAUAGCCUCUUGCCUAUGCAGUCGGAGAGAUUGAGGUCUGCAGCGUAGAUCCUUCGGGGCUAAAUGCAUUUGUGCUAAGUUAUAGCAUUUUAUAGACAACUUGUUGACUAUGAUUUGUCUUGUAGCUUACUCGCUUAUGUUAUUUUACCUACGCUUAGGAUGUUGAGUCGUAGAGCACGCAG
Molecule: ribosomal RNA, 775 nt
Filed under: uncultured Neocallimastigales
Lineage: Eukaryota; Fungi; Neocallimastigomycota; Neocallimastigomycetes; Neocallimastigales
Description: partial large subunit ribosomal RNA
Rfam family: Eukaryotic large subunit ribosomal RNA
Source: RNAcentral